GACGAACCGUGCGACCGUUGCUCGGAAUCACUGGGCAUAAAGGGCGCGUAGGCGGCUUGUCAAGUCAGGGGUGAAAUCCGGCAGCUUAACUGUCGAAGUGCCUUUGAUACUGAUGAGCUAGAGGGAGAUAGGGGUAUGCGGAACUUCCGGUGGAGCGGUGAAAUGCGUUGAUAUCGGAAGGAACGCCGGUGGCGAAAGCGGCGUACUGGAUCUCUUCUGACGCUGAGGCGCGAAAGCUAGGGGAGCAAACGGG
RNAcentral lists this ribosomal RNA (253 nucleotides) under uncultured bacterium. RNAcentral describes it as "partial 16S ribosomal RNA". It matches the Rfam family "Bacterial small subunit ribosomal RNA", at positions 524 to 776 of the family's 1533-position model. The record is from RNAcentral.